Myotis myotis is the source of this 596-nucleotide long non-coding RNA. RefSeq lists it as uncharacterized. The record is from RefSeq and is a predicted model, not a curated record. Lineage: Eukaryota; Metazoa; Chordata; Mammalia; Chiroptera; Vespertilionidae. The transcript has 3 exons.
CUCGUCGCCCGGGGAGCCUGUGAGGAGAGACACACGGCUGCGGGCGGCGUCACGGGCUCGGCCACCGCUCCUGAGAGACACGCCUGCUUCCUGUCCGCCUCCCGGGCCGGCGCCAGAGGGACUGUCUGCUCCGCGUCUGGAACUGUCUGCGCACAGAAUGCGAGGGGGUUUCCAGAACCCUCCAUGGUGCGGGGUGCCACGGGGAGACACUCACAGCUUUCGUACGAAGUCAGAGCUGUGGCUCCCGGCCGGUCCCUGCCGCCCUCGUCCUGACCUCUAACCUCCACCCACCUGAUCAGGUGUCCAAACAGACCCCGUGCCUGGGCGCUCACGCACUCCAUUCCGUGGCCAGAAAGUUAAACAGCUCAACUGUCCGUCACCAAGGAGCGGACAGCUGCCCACAACGGCCGUUCACACACGGAAUACUGCUCAGCCCUGAGCAGGGACGAGCUCUGACCCACGACGAUGCAGGGAAGUGGGAAACAUGAUGCUAGUGAGGGGCUCGGACCUGCCUGCUCUGCCUGCUGUGCCCCCUCUGCCUGCUGUGCCCCCUCUGCCUGCUGUGCCCUCUGCCUGCUGUGCCCGCUCUGCCUGCU